UUUCUAAGGCUGAGACACGACGUCGAGCACCUACGGGUGUGAAGUCAUUGAUGCCAUGCUUCCAGGAAAAGCCUCUAAGCUUCAGAUUGUAAGGAAUCGUACCCCAAACCGACACAGGUGGUCGGGUAGAGAAUACCAAGGCGCUUGAGAGAACUCGGGUGAAGGAACUAGGCAAAAUGGUACCGUAACUUCGGGAGAAGGUACGCUCUUGAUGGUGAAGUCCCUUGCGGAUGGAGCUGACGAGAGUCGCAGAUACCAGGUGGCUGCAACUGUUUAUUAAAAACACAGCACUGUGCAAAAUCGUAAGAUGACGUAUACGGUGUGACGCCUGCCCGGUGCCGGAAGGUUAAUUGAUGGGGUUAGACUUCGGUCGAAGCUCUUGAUCGAAGCCCCGGUAAACGGCGGCCGUAACUAUAACGGUCCUAAGGUAGCGAAAUUCCUUGUCGGGUAAGUUCCGACCUGCACGAAUGGCGUAAUGAUGGCCACGCUGUCUCCACCCGAGACUCAGUGAAAUUGAAAUCGCUGUGAAGAUGCAGUGUACCCGCGGCUAGACGGAAAGACCCCGUGAACCUUUACUACAGCUUGGCACUGAACAUUGACCCUACAUGUGUAGGAUAGGUGGGAGGCUUUGAAGCACGUACGCCAGUAUGUGUGGAGCCGUCCUUGAAAUACCACCCUUGUAGUGUUGAUGUUCUAACGUCGACCCCUAAUCGGGGUUGCGGACAGUGCCUGGUGGGUAGUUUGACUGGGGCGGUCUCCUCCCAAAGAGUAACGGAGGAGCACGAAGGUGGGCUAAUCACGGUUGGACAUCGUGAGGUUAGUGCAAUGGCAUAAGCCCGCUUGACUGCGAGAAUGACAAUUCGAGCAGGUGCGAAAGCAGGUCAUAGUGAUCCGGUGGUUCUGAAUGGAAGGGCCAUCGCUCAACGGAUAAAAGGUACUCCGGGGAUAACAGGCUGAUACCGCCCAAGAGUUCAUAUCGACGGCGGUGUUUGGCACCUCGAUGUCGGCUCAUCACAUCCUGGGGCUGAAGUCGGUCCCAAGGGUAUGGCUGUUCGCCAUUUAAAGUGGUACGCGAGCUGGGUUUAGAACGUCGUGAGACAGUUCGGUCCCUAUCUGCCGUGGGCGUUGGAAGAUUGAAGGGGGCUGCUCCUAGUACGAGAGGACCGGAGUGGACGAACCUCUGGUGUUCGGGUUGUGUCGCCAGACGCAUUGCCCGGUAGCUAAGUUCGGAAUCGAUAACCGCUGAAAGCAUCUAAGCGGGAAGCGAGCCCUGAGAUGAGUCUUCCCUGAUACUUUAAGUAUCCUAAAGGGUUGUCGGAGACUACGACGUUGAUAGGUCAGGUGUGUAAGUGCUGUGAGGCAUUGAGCUAACUGAUACUAAUUGCCCGUGAGGCUUAACCAUACAACAC
Molecule: ribosomal RNA, 1409 nt
Filed under: Vibrio parahaemolyticus
Lineage: Bacteria; Pseudomonadati; Pseudomonadota; Gammaproteobacteria; Vibrionales; Vibrionaceae
Description: partial 23S ribosomal RNA
Rfam family: Bacterial large subunit ribosomal RNA
Source: RNAcentral